Long non-coding RNA from Lycium ferocissimum, 2811 nucleotides. RefSeq lists it as uncharacterized. The transcript is spliced from 2 exons. NCBI's taxonomy places the organism in Eukaryota, Viridiplantae, Streptophyta, Magnoliopsida, Solanales, Solanaceae. The record is from RefSeq and is a predicted model, not a curated record.
UCAGAAACUAUCGCCGCCACCCCCCCUUUACCCAUCGGACCAUCGGUUAAAGCUGAUUCGGCGUCACUGACGCCACCUUCCAUCAACCCCUGUCCCUUUCUCCCUUUUUCUUCAAGUGACAGAGCUUCGAACAGCUCGUCCAAUCGAAUCAGCCCCUAAAUCGAAAAGCACGCAAAUGUCUUUGGGAUUCUAGACCGCUCUUCCAACAAUCCAUAGGCUAAAGGCUUGUUUCAGUCCGUUGGAGUCUAAAAUCAUAAAGAAUCCACUAAAUUCGAAGUCCCAACGAAUUUGUAGCUUUCAAAUCCAUCUGAAAAGUUCUCGGCCAAGCAAAAACUACUUCGAGCGGAUUCAAAGACUCGACGAUGACAAUAGCCUUAGUUCGCUGUCCCGAAGAAGGUAAUCACACUCGUCUUCUCUUCGUCUUUAAUUUCCUAGAAGUAAAAUGUAGUCGUCGAGUCGUUUUGUCUUUUGUAUCGUCUCGACCUAUUUAAAUAUUUUUGUUGCUCUGUGUGCUCUGAAUUUGUGAUGAAAUAGUUAAUGCAAGCUAUUAUACUUAGAAAGAAUGAUAAUUUAGCAUGAAGAACAUGUGAACAGUGAUGUCGUCUUGCUUUAAAUUAGUUUUCUUUAAUCUUGAGGGGUUGUUUCGGUUUACCGUUUUGGUGUGCUUAUACAGUGUAGCAAAGGUUUUUCUGGUUAUUUGAAUAAGAAUAAGAAUGCACUUUUUUUCGGUCUUGUUCAUAUGAUGUACUAGUGUAAGAUGUAUAUAGGGAUAUAUAACUAAUUGAAGUGUCUUUGUGGAGCUUAAGUUCUGUUUGGGGUGAUUAAUGAAUUCAUUUUUUUUUCUUCAUAUUAUUGAUUCUGAGAAAUCGUAAGAAAAAUAGCUUCGUUCGUUCAACUUGGCGGAUGUGUGAUUAACAUGUCGCUCGUGUAAAUUCUAUUUUUUUUUCUGGGGGGCUGUUUUUGCGAUGAACCUUUCUUGAAAUCGAUGUGUAAAUAUUCUAUGGUAUCUUAUGACUUGAGAGGAAAAAGUUACUAUUUUGAUUAGAGAAAAGUUACUGGUUUUGAUCUUUAAAAAAAAAAGGUAAGGAAGCAUCAGGGAGCAGUAGGUCGUAGUCCUAAAACCCCUUAUGCAUUAAGUGCAUGUUGCCUAUCUUCUAUCUCAAUGACAAGUUUGGUUAAGCUUAUUAUGAGUUUGUGAGUUCUGUUGUUAUGGCUAUAGGAUUUUCAGAUUUUUACAUGAACUUAACCAUCCAUGAAUAUAUGAACCUGUCCGCUCGUGAAUAAAAUCUGAACAUAUUUGAAUCCAGUGACUGCUUUUUCCUAUUUAUGGACGCCCAUGAAAGAAUAGUAUGAAACAGUGUAACAUGUCGUUAAUCAAUAGCUAAGUGUCUCUCUUCUCUGUUUUAUUAUUUGGUCAUUGUAACUUAGAAGCCAUAAGAAUACAAAACGCUGUUAUAAUGGCCUGCUGGUUUGUGUUUUCAAAUUAAUGAUAUUUUAAUUUGUUUAUAAAAAGUAUGUGCGUCACUAGUGUGUAAGAGUUUACCUACAUUCACAUAAGGUUAACAUAAGCUGUGAAUAAUCCUUCAAUAGUUUGUUCGAGAUCAAGAUGGUACAUUUAGAAACUACGGCUGUAGGAAUGGUAUUUCUUGUCAAUUGUUAAAAGUUAUUUGGUUCAGUUUUUGGUCUUCUGUAUUAUGCUUCAGUAUAUAAUAUACCUAAGAGGAUUUGACUUGGGGAUUGAAGAAUGGCUAAAGCUUUCAUCUUUAAAGUACCUCUUUGUUAAAACUCUAUCUUUAGUCUAAUUGAAGAUUGUUUGAAGUUUGUGUUUUCUCUUAAAGUAGUUAGCCUUUGGGAGGAAGUAGCAUAUUUGAAUGGGACUAUCUGUUUCUCUUGAAAUGGAUAACACUUGAAGCAAGUGAAAUGCCAUAUGUGUGUUGAGUCAAAACCUUAUUGGAUUACCUGAACUUAUUUUUGGAUUAGUGCAUUUAUGUUUCCACGAAAGAAAAAAAAAGAUUAUAUUUAUAGUUUGGUUGCUGGUGUACCUCCCUUUUGAUAAGGUUGUUGAUACUUAAAACCAUGAAUUCGUUGCCCUUUUUGAGCUUGAAUGACUUGAUUUUUUCAGAUUUUGGAAAAAUUAAAACUUGCAUAAAAGAGGGAGUGGGGCUGCUAUAUUCAAGUUCUGGUGCAAUUAAUAUGCUGACUUAUUUCUCCUUAGUUGAACCUAGAGAAAAUAUGCUAAGUAUCUCUGGAUAUAUGUUGUUUAGGAAUAAGACAAUAUGAUGUUUUGAAGUUUGAGUAAGCUUUAGUUUAAUCAAAAGUUCUUGUUGUACAUUUAGCUUGAAGCGCUUGGUUGUUUGAGUACCAAUUGGGACUACAAUGAUCUUCUUUUAAACUGAUCGUGGUGUUGUGUUCUGAGAAUGUGACAUGAGAAAGUCUGUCUUACAUAUGAUUCUUUUAUCUGGCUUUAUUAAUUAAAGUUAUAUAAACUUCUUUCUCCUUGUUAAUAAUAGUUUCUAAUCCUUAUCUUCAUCUUCUUCUUUUUUGAUGAGCACCCUUGGGAGGGCAUUUGGAGUUAUAGUACAACUCUGACUUGUUCCAAGAUCUGAAGCAUCAGUAACAUAUUCAUGUGCUCGCAUCUAGCAGCCUUCGUUCAUGUCAAGAGUCGACGUCCUUCUUCCUCUCAAAUUUUGUCACAUUUCAUAGAUUAAGAUAUAUAUUACCUUGUGACUAACAUUUUGCUCUUUGCAUUGACUACUUUGCUUUGUUUUGUUGGGGUUGUACAAGCCAUUUAAGUGUGUUAGUAAACUUAGU